RNAcentral lists this ribosomal RNA (303 nucleotides) under uncultured Gammaproteobacteria bacterium. RNAcentral describes it as "partial 16S ribosomal RNA". The record is from RNAcentral. Lineage: Bacteria; Pseudomonadati; Pseudomonadota; Gammaproteobacteria.
UGGAAUUCCAUCCCCCUCUGCCGUACUCCAGCCUUGCAGUCACAAAGGCAGUUCCCAGGUUGAGCCCGGGGAUUUCACCUCUGUCUUACAAAACCGCCUGCGCACGCUUUACGCCCAGUAAUUCCGAUUAACGCUCGCACCCUACGUAUUACCGCGGCUGCUGGCACGUAGUUAGCCGGUGCUUAUUCUUCAGGUACCGUCAUCCCCACGAGGUAUUAACCCACAGGAUUUCUUCCCUGACAAAAGCAGUUUACAACCCGAAGGCCUUCUUCCUGCACGCGGCAUUGCUGGAUCAGGGUUGCC